Molecule: long non-coding RNA, 1784 nt
Organism: Grus americana (Whooping crane)
Lineage: Eukaryota; Metazoa; Chordata; Aves; Gruiformes; Gruidae
Exons: 2
Source: RefSeq, a predicted model, not a curated record
AGGUCCUAACAUGCGCGCGGCCGCGCGGCAGCAGCCGGCGGGGUAGGAAGGGGUUCGGGGGGAGGCGGCGGGGCGAGCAGCUCCACCAGCGGGGGAGGCGACGGUGGGCAUGGCUGUGGGGCCGGCCCCUUGCUUUGCCAAGCUCCGAGGACCAGGUGCUGCUGGCGCCGCGCCACCGGGGAGGUUGCCCGCGGGUGGUGCCGGCCCCGCCGCCGCCGCUACCUGGGGCACUACUGCCUGACCGCCGCACUGGUGCGGCUCCCCGGGCACGCACAGGGAACGCGAGCCGGCUGCGACCGGCAGCCCGGCCACCCUUUCGCCCCGGGAGGGCGGAGAGUGCUCAGCUCGCCCGGAGAAGAGGCGGCGCCGGGCGUACCUGCGGACGUUACCCUCGCCGCUCGCGGUCCUUGCACGCUGUCCCAGAUCUUGCUCCCGUCUCUGACUUCCUCAUUUUCCUUAAAAGUUACGAGAAAUUCCGUCACACUUCAUGAAAAUUACAUUCCAGUGGCUCUCAAAAUUGCGGUCGCUCCUUAACUAUAUGCAACAGAACUGUAAUCGGCACAUCUUCCUUACAAGAGGGAGGGGCUUGUUUUUCCCACGAUGGUAAUGAUAAAAGGUGGCGGGGGAGUGAAAACGUGAAUUUUCUACCCAAAGUGAUCAGUCAGCAAGUCUUUACUGCUGUUUGCACUGGGCCAGCAGAGAAGUACAAGUGCUGCAUACAGUUGCUACGAGGAGAGCGAUAGCAUGGACACUGAAUCCUCGAACGGCUGCUUCAGGUGGUGGCAAACUUUAGCGACACUGAAAAAGGACGGCUCAUCCAUUUAACCUUACAAGUGGCUGCAGAACUACCUUCGAACAGAUUGGGCUCUCCAUAAUACUUUCAUAGACAUGUUGCCUCCUUCCUUGGAUGUGCUCCUGCUGCUCAUCCAACAGAUCAGUGAGUAUAAGCAUGGGUGGAGCACCCACUGGCAUGUGAAGGAACUUCCUUUCCACUUCCAAGGAGGACCUCUGACCAACAUGCCCAGCCUACAAGCCCAUCUCUGGGCAGCAGUGGCAUGCUCUGCACUGGGGAGUGGGAACCAGGACCACUCACGCUGAGCUGAUUAGACUCCUGUCUCUACUUGGACUGCUACCAUCUCCACAGACAAGUGAAAAAAAAGCCCCAAACCAAACAUGCCAGAGAAGCAGCAAUCAACCUGGCAGCUGGCAGAGAUACACAAACCCUUCUUCAAACCAUUACAGCUUUGAAACAACAGGCAAAGUUCAGGCGAGUGGAGAAAUAAACAAACAACAUCAUAUCACACAGGCAAGAAGUUGAAACAGGACUGCGUAAUCCACAGCCUGUUCUGUCAAACAGGUCCAGCUGACUACAACCGUUUCUUGCCCACAUGCUCUUUGUAUGCUGCUGUGCGCAUGGUGUGGCCACAGGGUCACCUCAGCGAGCUGCUUGCAGCAGAGGAGCCUGCAGGCAGCUCCUGCUCAGCACCACGUGUUGCAACACCUAUGCAUCCUUGCCCGUGUCUACCAGUGCAGCCAGAAGUUUUCACGUCAACAACCUUUAGCAGCAGAGUUGUUUUCUCACAAGAAAAUAUAUAAUAACUCAAAGGACCAGGAACGAGGAACGUCUCCCCAGACGGGAUCUGCACAGCAUGCCAUGGGAAAAUCCCUGCAGGAUCCAUCCAGUGCUGAACCAAUGCAUGGUGCCCAGCAUCAGAAAGGACUUAAGGUUUACUCACUAUCUAUAUUCCUCUUUUUAUUCUGUCUUAUUAAAAUGGGUAUUUUAU